UUAAACAAGGAAGUGAAGACAACGUUUCGGCUCCUCUCUGAGACCUGGUAAAGGCCGAAACGUUGUCUCCACUUCCUUGUUUCAAAUAAAGACUG
Non-coding RNA from Pelobates cultripes (western spadefoot toad), 95 nucleotides. NCBI's taxonomy places the organism in Eukaryota, Metazoa, Chordata, Amphibia, Anura, Pelobatidae. The record is from the annotation of a GenBank genome assembly.